GACGAACGCUGGCGGCGUGCUUAACACAUGCAAGUCGAACGGUAAGGCCCUUCGGGGUACACGAGUGGCGAACGGGUGAGUAACACGUGGGUGAUCUGCCCUGCACUUCGGGAUAAGCCUGGGAAACUGGGUCUAAUACCGGAUAGGACCACUGCCUGCAUGGGUGGUGGUGGGAAGCUUUUGCGGUGUGGGGUGGGGCCGCGGCCUAUCAGCUUGUUGGUGGGGUGAUGGCCUACCAAGGCGACGACGGGUAGCCGGCCUGAGAGGGUGACCGGCCACACUGGGACUGAGAUACGGCCCAGACUCCUACGGGAGGCAGCAGUGGGGAAUAUUGCACAAUGGGCGCAAGCCUGAUGCAGCGACGCCGCGUGAGGGAUGACGGCCUUCGGGUUGUAAACCUCUUUCAGCACCGACGAAGCGCAAGGGACGGUAGGUGCAGAAGAAGGACCGGCCAACUACGUGCCAGCAGCCGCGGUAA
RNAcentral lists this ribosomal RNA (478 nucleotides) under uncultured bacterium. RNAcentral describes it as "partial 16S ribosomal RNA". It matches the Rfam family "Bacterial small subunit ribosomal RNA", at positions 28 to 523 of the family's 1533-position model. The record is from RNAcentral.